UUUAAUUUUAAAAUUAUGUGGAUCGUCGGAUUGGUUGAGAUUUAAAUCUCAAAUCGUUGUUUUAUAAUUAACCCUAGUAACCUCACUCUCACCUCACCUCACCCUCACUGUCUCUCUCACCCGAUUCGCCUCCUCCACCCAAAUCCAAAUCGAGCCCUCCAUCUUCCUCUGUCCUCCCACAUCAGUGGGAUCACCCAAAUUCGUCGCCUGAAUCGUGACUCCACCCACACCGGUCCUCAAUCCUCAGUCUUCACUUCGUGAAUUCGUCCCCUGAAUCACGAUUCCACCCACUGUCCACACCACCUCGCCCAAAUCGAGCUCUCGGUCAUAGUCCUCACUCACUCCACCUCACUCCACAAGUUUCUCGAUGACUAGUUUGGUUGACCCGAUCCAACUCAUAUUGGAGCGGUUUGGGGCCUUGUUCUCUCUGUCUCCGCAACCUCAAAGGCCAUGCCCUUGUCACGCCCCCAUUGCCGGUGACCAUGAGCUGAAUGUAUUAUCUCCAACCCAAAAGUUACUUUUACAACCCGAAGUGAGGAAUAUGAAUCUUUGAGAUGGCUGAUCUGGAACUUGUAGCAAAAAUUUGAUGAGGUGCAAGGCCUGCUGGGAAGAUGCAUCUGUCCAAAAAUGUUUGCUUUCAAGUUUUUUGUUUGUAUUAGAGAGAAAAUAUGUAACACUACAAUAUAUGUUUGUGAGAUUUAGAAAGUGAAAGUUGGUUUCAUGGUUGUAGGUUUUCUUCAAUUCAUGAAAUUUAAAAUUUUUGCAUUUCCUCAAUUUAGUUUCAAUUUUUCAAAUUUUGAUUUUUUUUUAUUA
This 813-nucleotide small RNA is filed under the name Malus domestica (apple). RNAcentral describes it as "sRNA MD03G0084100". Lineage: Eukaryota; Viridiplantae; Streptophyta; Magnoliopsida; Rosales; Rosaceae. The record is from RNAcentral.